Molecule: long non-coding RNA, 239 nt
Filed under: Capra hircus (goat)
Lineage: Eukaryota; Metazoa; Chordata; Mammalia; Artiodactyla; Bovidae
Description: lncRNA (ENSCHIG00000001397.1)
Source: RNAcentral
AACUAAUAGUAUGUGAAGCGAGUGAUUAAAAAAUGAAGUUGACUAGAAGGUUCAGCAACUCAAGAGAAGAGUAAAGAAAAUACCAAGACUUGGCCAUGAACAAGGAAUAUCACAGGAAUCAGGAAUACGACAGAAGGUAUCACAAAAUAUUACAGAAGGUAAAAGAUGAAACUACUGGAGCUGAAAGAGAAUCCAGGCUUAUCCAAGUUUACAAAGUUGCUUUGUACUAUCAAUAGGAU